AUCGCUUCUCGGCCUUUUGGCUAAGAUCAAGUGUAGUGUCUUUGACAGUGCUGCGCUUGAUCAGAGAAGCGAUCGCAGGCCGGAGGGCGCCCGGGAAAUUGUGCUAUUUAUUUUUGUUUAAAAUCAUUAUUGUUGUAUUGUUUCACUAUUGUUUUUUGUCCUGGGUUAGGUGGUGGUUCUGGUGGUGGACUACAGGUGCACUAGCACCUGUAGGGUGAGUUUAA
Molecule: small nuclear RNA, 224 nt
Organism: Oncorhynchus kisutch (coho salmon)
Lineage: Eukaryota; Metazoa; Chordata; Actinopteri; Salmoniformes; Salmonidae
Gene: U2
Rfam family: U2 spliceosomal RNA
About the family: U2 is a small nuclear RNA (snRNA) component of the spliceosome (involved in pre-mRNA splicing). Complementary binding between U2 snRNA (in an area lying towards the 5' end but 3' to hairpin I) and the branchpoint sequence (BPS) of the intron results the bulging out of an unpaired adenosine, on the BPS, which initiates a nucleophilic attack at the intronic 5' splice site, thus starting the first of two transesterification reactions that mediate splicing.
Source: Ensembl